CGGGGUGAGUAACGCGUGGGUAACCUGCCUUGUACUGGGGGACAACAGUUAGAAAUGACUGCUAAUACCGCAUAAGCGCACAGUAUCGCAUGAUACAGUGUGAAAAACUCCGGUGGUACAAGAUGGACCCGCGUCUGAUUAGCUAGUUGGUAAGGUAACGGCUUACCAAGGCGACGAUCAGUAGCCGACCUGAGAGGGUGACCGGCCACAUUGGGACUGAGACACGGCCCAA
This 232-nucleotide ribosomal RNA is filed under the name uncultured bacterium. Its description in RNAcentral is "partial 16S ribosomal RNA". It matches the Rfam family "Bacterial small subunit ribosomal RNA", at positions 104 to 334 of the family's 1533-position model. The record is from RNAcentral.